ACCCAGAGCGUACACGCUGGGACCCGAAAGAUGGUGAACUAUGCCUGGUCAGGACGAAGUCAGGGGAAACCCUGAUGGAGGUCCGUAGCGAUUCUGACGUGCAAAUCGAUCGUCGGAACUGGGUAUAGGGGCGAAAGACUAAUCGAACCAUCUAGUAGCUGGUUCCCUCCGAAGUUUCCCUCAGGAUAGCUGGCGCUCGUCGAGCGCGAGUCUCAUCCGGUAAAGCGAAUGAUUAGAGGCAUUGGGGUCGGGACGCCUACGUAAUUGUGGCGGCCCUAAUCGCUCCGCUAGUUAGAUACCGUCGAGCGUGCCGGUCGGGAAGCCGCGCGGUCCGCUCGGCACGACAGCGAGUGUCGUCCGUGCGGGCUCCCGCGCGAUCCUCAGACCGGGCCCGACGGGUCGCGACGUCCUACUCGCGGAGACGUGCACGCGCUCGCAACCGGGACGGCGGUCGCAUGCGACGGGCGAGUACGACCCUC
This 479-nucleotide ribosomal RNA is filed under the name Phrixothrix hirtus. RNAcentral describes it as "eukaryotic LSU rRNA". It matches the Rfam family "Eukaryotic large subunit ribosomal RNA", at positions 793 to 1048 of the family's 3401-position model. Lineage: Eukaryota; Metazoa; Arthropoda; Insecta; Coleoptera; Phengodidae. The record is from RNAcentral.